UUCGCCCUUAGAGUUUGAUCCUGGCUCAGGACGAACGCUGGCGGCGCGCCUAACACAUGCAAGUCGAACGAGCGAGAGAGAGCUUGCUUUCUCGAGCGAGUGGCGAACGGGUGAGUAACGCGUGAGGAACCUGCCUCAAAGAGGGGGACAACAGUUGGAAACGACUGCUAAUACCGCAUAAGCCCACGGGUCGGCAUCGACCAGAGGGAAAAGGAGCAAUCCGCUUUGAGAUGGCCUCGCGUCCGAUUAGCUAGUUGGUGAGGUAACGGCCCACCAAGGCAACGAUCGGUAGCCGGACUGAGAGGUUGAACGGCCACAUUGGGACUGAGACACGGCCCAGACUCCUACGGGAGGCAGCAGUGGGGAAUAUUGCACAAUGGGGGAAACCCUGAUGCAGCGACGCCGCGCGGAGGAAGAAGGUCUUCGGAUUGUAAACUCCUGUUGUUGGGGAAGAUAAUGACGGUACCCAACAAGGAAGUGACGGCUAACUACGUGCCAGCAGCCGCGGUAAAACGUAGGUCACAAGCGUUGUCCGGAAUUACUGGGUGUAAAGGGAGCGCAGGCGGGAAGACAAGUUGGAAGUGAAAUCUAUGGGCUCAACCCAUAAAACUGCUUUCAAAACUGUUUUUCUUGAGUAGUGCAGAGGUAGGCGGAAUUCCCGGUGUAGCGGUGGAAUGCGUAGAUAUCGGGAGGAACACCAGUGGCGAAGGCGGCCUACUGGGCACCAACUGACGCUGAGGCUCGAAAGUGUGGGUAGCAAACAGGAUUAGAUACCCUGGUAGUCCACACCGUAAACGAUGAUUACUAGGUGUUGGAGGAUUGACCCCUUCAGUGCCGCAGUUAACACAAUAAGUAAUCCACCUGGGGAGUACGACCGCAAGGUUGAAACUCAAAGGAAUUGACGGGGGCCCGCACAAGCAGUGGAGUAUGUGGUUUAAUUCGACGCAACGCGAAGAACCUUACCAAGUCUUGACAUCCCUUGACAGGCAUAGAAAUAUGUUUUCUCUUCGGAGCAAGGAGACAGGUGGUGCAUGGUUGUCGUCAGCUCGUGUCGUGAGAUGUUGGGUUAAGUCCCGCAACGAGCGCAACCCUUAUGGUCAGUUACUACGCAAGAGGACUCUGGCCAGACUGCCGUUGACAAAACGGAGGAAGGUGGGGAUGACGUCAAAUCAUCAUGCCCUUUAUGACUUGGGCUACACACGUACUACAAUGGCGUUAAACAAAGAGAAGCAAGACCGCGAGGUGGAGCAAAACUCAGAAACAACGUCCCAGUUCGGACUGCAGGCUGCAACUCGCCUGCACGAAGUCGGAAUUGCUAGUAAUCGUGGAUCAGCAUGCCACGGUGAAUACGUUCCCGGGCCUUGCACACACCGCCCGUCA
Molecule: ribosomal RNA, 1380 nt
Filed under: uncultured bacterium
Lineage: Bacteria
Description: 16S ribosomal RNA
Rfam family: Bacterial small subunit ribosomal RNA
Source: RNAcentral